AUGCGAGUUAAAUGUUCUUCGUGAACAUAGCAGACUGCUCAGUAACACGUGGAUAACCUGCCCUUAGGACUGGCAUAACCCCGGGAAACUGGGGAUAAGUCCGGAUAGAUCAUAAAUGCUGGAAUGCUUUAUGAUUGAAAGGUUUCGACCGCCUUAGGAUGGAUCUGCGGCCUAUCAGGUUGUAGUGGGUGUAAUGUACCUACUAGCCUACGACGGGUACGGGUUGUGGAAGCAAGAGCCCGGAGAUGGAUUCUGAGACAUGAAUCCAGGCCCUACGGGGCGCAGCAGGCGCGAAAACUUUACAAUGCGGGAAACCGUGAUAAGGGAACACUGAGUGCUAGCAUUUAUGUUAGCUGUCCACAUGUGUAAAUAGCAUGUGAUAGCAAGGGCUGGGCAAGACCGGUGCCAGCCGCCGCGGUAACACCGGCAGCCCGAGUGGUGAUCACUAUUAUUGGGUCUAAAGGGUCCGUAGCCGGUUUAAUCAGUCUUCUGGGAAAUCUAAUCGCUUAACUAUUAGGCUUCCAGGGGAUACUGUUAGACUUGGGACCGGGAGAGGUAAGAGGUACUGCAGGGGUAGGAGUGAAAUCUUGUAAUCCCUGUGAGACCACCAGUGGCGAAGGCGUCUUACCAGAACGGGUCCGACGGUGAGGGACGAAAGCUGGGGGCACGAACCGGAUUAGAUACCCGGGUAGUCCCAGCUGUAAACGAUGCUCGUUAGGUGUCAGGAACGGUGCGACUGUUUCUGGUGCCGAAG
RNAcentral lists this ribosomal RNA (754 nucleotides) under uncultured archaeon. RNAcentral's name for it is "bacterial SSU rRNA". It matches the Rfam family "Archaeal small subunit ribosomal RNA", at positions 51 to 806 of the family's 1478-position model. The record is from RNAcentral.